Molecule: long non-coding RNA, 331 nt
Filed under: Homo sapiens (human)
Lineage: Eukaryota; Metazoa; Chordata; Mammalia; Primates; Hominidae
Description: non-protein coding lnc-CDH6-8:1
Source: RNAcentral
AAUGAUAACCUGUUCCGACAGCAGCUGGGUCCUCGGUUUCUGUACUGGCCAGGCCACAGCUGAGGCAGCCUGUGUCCAGAGGCACUUGCCUAAGGGAAGGAGGGCUCAUCUGGCAGUUGAAAAGCCUGUACCCACUUCAUCAUGCUCCAUGGAGUGGAUAUCAAAUUGCUGAAUGCCUUCCUGAAGUUGCACCAGGCAGAACAGGAGAGACCCAAGUUUAUUGCCUGGCCCUAUCUCCAUAUCCUGCUCAAGCCUUUUCCCCGGGGAGCUGGUAACCAUACUUUAUCUCAUUCUUUCAUGUGCUUCCACUUCUGACCUGCUAUGAAGUUGA